UUUACUUUGUUUUGGAUAUUUGUCUAAUCUAGGAAUUUUUACGUUGUGUACUGUACAUUCAAAUUUUUUAUACGAUUUCUGAUAAUGGUUUUUAUAGUUACAAGAAUGCGGACAAAAAACUUUGUUGGUUCUAUUUACGUAUGAAAAUUGUAGUGUUUAUUUUUCAUUCCAUUAUUAACGAAGACGAAAGGAAAGAAAUAUAAUAAAGUAGGUAAUUAAUGGUCAGAAGUUGAUUCGUAAAUAAAAAUUAACAAAAUAGUUGUUAACGGUAUGUCGCCAUUUUAUGUGUCGUCGAUUACCUGUUUUUAUUUUAUUUUACGUUUCAUUUAUUUAAGAUUGAAGAUAAAUUAGAGAGGAGAUUGAAGUUUAUUUUAAUCUGAAUGCAAAAGCAAGUGGUCUAUGGUUUUUUAUCUGUUAACUUUUCAUCUUUGAGAUUCUUGCAGUUAAUUAAAGAACAUUAGAAAGCUCCAGAUGCCGUUAAAAUAAGGAACAUCGGUUGCAUCAGUCCUCAUUUGCUACAGGAAGUAGAUGUGUAUCUAUGGUCCUAAAGGAAGCAUGGAAGUGCCUUUUUUCCAUUCGGAUUGGAGACAGUGUGCUGUUGCUGAAGGAAGGAUUCAUGACAAU
Agrilus planipennis (emerald ash borer) is the source of this 624-nucleotide long non-coding RNA. RefSeq lists it as uncharacterized. NCBI's taxonomy places the organism in Eukaryota, Metazoa, Arthropoda, Insecta, Coleoptera, Buprestidae. The record is from RefSeq and is a predicted model, not a curated record. The transcript is spliced from 3 exons.